UUUUGGUGAACAUUCAACGCUGUCGGUGAGUUUGGUAUUUAAAGGCAAACCAUCGAUCGUUGAUUGUACAUUAAGA
Pelobates cultripes (western spadefoot toad) is the source of this 76-nucleotide non-coding RNA. The record is from the annotation of a GenBank genome assembly. Lineage: Eukaryota; Metazoa; Chordata; Amphibia; Anura; Pelobatidae.